This 371-nucleotide ribosomal RNA is filed under the name uncultured organism. RNAcentral describes it as "bacterial SSU rRNA". It matches the Rfam family "Bacterial small subunit ribosomal RNA", at positions 527 to 896 of the family's 1533-position model. The record is from RNAcentral.
CAGGGGGGCAUGCGUUGUUCGGAAUUACUGGGCGUAAAGGGCUCGUAGGCGGCCAACUAAGUCACACGUGAAAUCCCCAGGCUUAACCUGGGAACUGCGUGUGAUACUGGAUGGCUUGAAUUCGGGAGAGGGAUGCAGAAUUCCAGGUGUAGCGGUGAAAUGCGUAGAUAUCUGGAGGAAUACCGGUGGCGAAGGCGGCAUCCUGGACCGACAUUGACGCUGAGGAGCGAAAGCUAGGGGAGCAAACGGGAUUAGAUACCCCGGUAGUCCUAGCCCUAAACGAUGAAUGCUUGGUGUGGCGGGUAUCGAUCCCUGCCGUGCCGAAGCUAACGCAUUAAGCAUUCCGCCUGGGGAGUACGGUCGCAAGGCUG